CCUACGGGGGUCAGCAGUCGAGAAUCAUUCACAAUGGGGGAAACCCUGAUGGUGCGACGCCGCGUGGGGGAAUGAAGGUCUUCGGAUUGUAAACCCCUGUCAUGUGGGAGCAAAUUAAAAAGAUAGUACCACAAGAGGAAGAGACUGCUAACUCUGUGCCCGCAGCCUCGGUAAUACAGAGGUCUCACGCUUUGAUCGGAAUCACUGGGCUUAAAGGGGUCGUAGGCUGUUUCGUAAGUCGUGGGUGAAAGGCGCGGGCUCAACCCGCGGACGGCACAUGAUACUGGGAGACUAGAGUAAUGGAGGGGGAACCGGAAUUCUCGGUGAAGCAGUGAAAUGCGUAGAUAUCGAGAGGAACACUCGUGGCGAAGGCGGGUUCCUGGACAUUAACUGACGCUGAGGCACGAAGGCCAGGGGAGCGAAAGGGAUUAGAUACCCCUGUAGUC
RNAcentral lists this ribosomal RNA (446 nucleotides) under uncultured bacterium. RNAcentral's name for it is "partial 16S ribosomal RNA". It matches the Rfam family "Bacterial small subunit ribosomal RNA", at positions 338 to 795 of the family's 1533-position model. The record is from RNAcentral.